GUGAUUGCAGAAUUCCGCGAAUCAUCGAGUCUUUGAACGCAAGUUGCGCCCGAGGCUCGUCCGAGGGCAUUCCUGCCUGAGCGUCAU
Molecule: ribosomal RNA, 87 nt
Filed under: Polytrichastrum sphaerothecium
Lineage: Eukaryota; Viridiplantae; Streptophyta; Polytrichopsida; Polytrichales; Polytrichaceae
Description: partial 5.8S ribosomal RNA
Rfam family: 5.8S ribosomal RNA
About the family: 5.8S ribosomal RNA (5.8S rRNA) is a component of the large subunit of the eukaryotic ribosome. It is transcribed by RNA polymerase I as part of the 45S precursor that also contains 18S and 28S rRNA.
Source: RNAcentral